This 679-nucleotide ribosomal RNA is filed under the name uncultured bacterium. RNAcentral's name for it is "bacterial SSU rRNA". It matches the Rfam family "Bacterial small subunit ribosomal RNA", at positions 760 to 1440 of the family's 1533-position model. The record is from RNAcentral.
CAUGGGAGCGAACAGGAUUAGAUACCCUGGUAGUCCAUGCCGUAAACGUUGGGCACUAGGUGUGGGGAGCAUUCCACGUUUUCCGCGCNGUAGCUAACGCAUUAAGUGCCCCGCCUGGGGAGUACGGCCCCAAGGCUAAAACUCAAAGGAAUUGACGGGGGCCCGCACAAGCGGCGGAGCAUGCGGAUUAAUUCGAUGCAACGCGAAGAACCUUACCAAGGCUUGACAUGCACUGGAUCGCUGCAGAGAUGUGGUUUUCUUUGGACUGGUGCACAGGUGGUGCAUGGUUGUCGUCAGCUCGUGUCGUGAGAUGUUGGGUUAAGUCCCGCAACGAGCGCAACCCUCGUUCCAUGUUGCCAGCACUUCGGGUGGGGACUCAUGGGAGACUGCCGGGGUCAACUCGGAGGAAGGUGGGGACGACGUCAAAUCAUCAUGCCCCUUAUGUCUUGGGCUUCACGCGUGCUACAAUGGUCGGUACAAUGGGUUGCGAUACUGUGAGGUGGAGCUAAUCCCAAAAAGCCGGUCUCAGUUCGGAUUGGGGUCUGCAACUCGACCCUAUGAAGUCGGAGUCGCUAGUAAUCGCAGAUCAGCAAUGCUGCGGUGAAUACGUUCCCGGGCCUUGUACACACCGCCCGUCAAGUCACGAAAGUCGGUAACACCCGAAGCCGAUGGCCCAAGC